UUGAAUCGUUGGAUAAUAUUAUGAAGCAAAACUUAUGGUAAUAUGUUUACCCCAUUUCUUACUCUACCGUAUAUAACAAGAUUUGAUUCCUUACGAGAGCAAUUUUGGUCAUGCAUAUUGUGUGCUAGUUAAUUAACAUGUAACAUCAAAUAUGAAUGCAAGUAUUAUAUAUGUAAUGCACAUAUCCUAGAGCCUUAUUUUGGAAAGUGAUAAAUAUUAAG
Molecule: long non-coding RNA, 221 nt
Filed under: Panax ginseng (ginseng)
Lineage: Eukaryota; Viridiplantae; Streptophyta; Magnoliopsida; Apiales; Araliaceae
Description: long non-coding RNA (PGIN_LNC001304)
Source: RNAcentral